CCUACGGGAGGCAGCAGUGAGGAAUAUUGCUCAAUGGACGAGACUCUGAACCAGCAACGUAGCGUGAAGGAUGACUGCCCUCUGGGUUGUAAACUUCUUUUAUAAAGGAAUAAAACGAGGCACGUGUGCCUUUUUGCAUGUACUUUAUGAAUAAAGAUCGGCUAACUCCGUGCCAGCAGCCGCGGUAAUACGGAGGAUCCGAGCGUUAUCCGGGUUUAUUGGGUUUAAAGUGAGCGUAGAUGGGUUGUUAAGUCAGUUGUGAAAGUUUGCGGCUCAACCGUAAAACUGCAAUUGAUACUGGCAGUCUUGAGUACAGUUGAGGUAGGCGGAAUUCGUGGUGUAGCGGUGAAAUGCUUAGAUAUCACGAAGAACCCCGAUUGCGAAGGCAGCUUACUAAACUGUGACUGACAUUGAUGCUCGAAAGUGUGGGGAUCAAACAGGAUUAGAUACCCUAGUAGUC
Molecule: ribosomal RNA, 460 nt
Filed under: uncultured bacterium
Lineage: Bacteria
Description: partial 16S ribosomal RNA
Rfam family: Bacterial small subunit ribosomal RNA
Source: RNAcentral